RNAcentral lists this ribosomal RNA (292 nucleotides) under uncultured bacterium. RNAcentral's name for it is "partial 16S ribosomal RNA". It matches the Rfam family "Bacterial small subunit ribosomal RNA", at positions 505 to 796 of the family's 1533-position model. The record is from RNAcentral.
GUGUCAGCAGCCGCGGUAAGACAGAGGUUGCAAACGUUGUUCGGAAUCACUGGGCAUAAAGCGCACGUAGGUGGUCUGCUAAGUCGUGUGUGAAAUGCCCCGGCUCAACCGGGGAAUGGCGCACGAUACUGGCAGGCUCGAGGUCGGGAGGGGUGAGUGGAACUCCUGGUGGAGCGGUGAAAUGCGUAGAUAUCAGGAGGAACACCGGUGGCGAAAGCGACUCACUGGCCCGAAUCUGACACUGAGGUGCGAAAGCUAGGGUAGCAAACGGGAUUAGAAACCCUCGUAGUCC